UCGCUGCCUCGUUUUGAUUGGAAUGGCAAGGUUCGUUUGCUUUUAAGUUAGAUUGGUUAGCUGCAUAGUUAUGUCUUCCUCACUACUUACUUGCGAUUUUGGUUGUCUUGUUUGCCGAUUUAAGGUGUCAUAGCAUUUUCUCAUCAUCGCUAUCUCUAUAUCAUAGGAUCUGUUUAUGUUCCUGCAUUACUUGGAUGCCGGCUGUGCUCUCUUGUAUUUCAGUCAUUAAUGUAUGUUUACAACUCAC
Molecule: long non-coding RNA, 247 nt
Filed under: Solanum tuberosum (potato)
Lineage: Eukaryota; Viridiplantae; Streptophyta; Magnoliopsida; Solanales; Solanaceae
Description: long non-coding RNA (STUB_LNC003897)
Source: RNAcentral